GACGAACGCUGGCGGCGUGCUUAACACAUGCAAGUCGAACGGAAAGGCCCCUUUGGGGGUACUCGAGUGGCGAACGGGUGAGUAACACUUGAGUAACCUGCCCUUGACUUCGGGAUAACUUCAGGAAACUGGGGCUAAUACCGGAUAGGAAUCCUUGCUGCAUGGUGGGGGUUGGAAAGCUUCGGCGGUUUUGGAUGGACUCGCGGCUUAUCAGCUUGUUGGUGGGGUAGUGGCUUACCAAGGCUUUGACGGGUAGCCGGCCUGAGAGGGCGACCGGCCACAUUGGGACUGAGAUACGGCCCAGGCUCCUACGGGAGGCAGCAGUGGGGAAUAUUGCUCAAUGGGCGGAAGCCUGAUGCAGCAGCGCCGCGUGCGGGAUGACGGCCUUCGGGUUGUAAACCGCUUUCAGCAGGGGCGAAGCUUGUGGUGACGGUACCUGCAGAAGAAGCACCGGCUAACUACGUG
This 465-nucleotide ribosomal RNA is filed under the name uncultured bacterium. RNAcentral describes it as "partial 16S ribosomal RNA". It matches the Rfam family "Bacterial small subunit ribosomal RNA", at positions 28 to 507 of the family's 1533-position model. The record is from RNAcentral.